GUGCUCACUAUGGCAGCAUAUAUAUUAAAUUGGAAUGAUACAGAGAAUAUUAGUAUGGCCCCUUGCAAGGAUGACACGCAAAUUCAUAAAGCAUUUCAUAUUUUA
Small nuclear RNA from Prolemur simus (greater bamboo lemur), 105 nucleotides. Lineage: Eukaryota; Metazoa; Chordata; Mammalia; Primates; Lemuridae. The record is from Ensembl.